GAUUAUACGCCAUGACGUCAUGUUGCGGAAACACCCCCGCAGCCAUAUUGAUUUUUAAAAAAUGCACAAAUUAAUCAGUUCUUAGAAAACUGUUCGUAACUUGAAAGCGCUUCGACUUUUGAUUGUGCAAGUUAGACUAGGAAGAAAGACCAGUCAAAGAUCUACAAGAUGAUGCCCGAAUCGCUUACUAUCUCGAAGGAUUGGCUGUGAUCUGCUUCUGUCAAGCGGUAAGUAGUAGUUACGUAUAAUACUGCUUUGUUACAUGGCUUUUUAGAUUCGCUAGAAGCUUCAUACAGCCUAAUACUUAUUGUAGUAAGUAUAUAGGACGUAGCUGUAGAGUUUGUAGUGCUGAGAAGCGUUGCUUAGCCUUUUUCUGUGCAGCACAAGGUACUGGGUGUGGCUUAUAACCUGAGGCAGCUAUGUGUAAAGAGAAACAGUGACAGUGGUAAAAAGGUGUGACUGGAUCCAAUAAUCAGAGGUGGGGCCACGUAUGUACAGUGAACAGAGGAACAGUGGCAGUAGCAGCGAGAUAUAAAAAAGUGUCUGAUGUCUGUGGCUACUGCUGAUACUUUGCUGUCACACUAUGCACUGCCACUGGGUCCCUUUUGGAGUACCUUGGAGUCGCCUCUGUCAAGAGUAGAAUACACGACAAUGCCAUGUACAGGAAGGUUGACGUUGGUGGUAGGACCUUCACAACAGUGCUCAGCUCAUGCAGUGUCAAUGUCCUAUCCAGAUCUACAUUUUUGAUAAUUUAUUGUUGUAAUUAUUGUUGUACUGUACCGGGUAUUUGAUAAUCUUGUUUUUAUUCUAUACAUUGAGUGAAGCCAUUUUAUUUGUUGCAUU
Halichondria panicea is the source of this 843-nucleotide long non-coding RNA. RefSeq lists it as uncharacterized. The record is from RefSeq and is a predicted model, not a curated record. The transcript has 4 exons. NCBI's taxonomy places the organism in Eukaryota, Metazoa, Porifera, Demospongiae, Suberitida, Halichondriidae.